Molecule: unclassified non-coding RNA, 299 nt
Filed under: plant metagenome
Description: partial contains small subunit ribosomal RNA, internal transcribed spacer 1, and 5.8S ribosomal RNA
Source: RNAcentral
UUUCCGUAGGUGAACCUGCGGAAGGAUCAUUAUUGAAUAAACUUGGUUGGGUUGCUGCUGGCUCUCAGGAGCAUGUGCACACUCAUUCCAUUUCAACCACCUGUGCACACACUGUAGGCCUGAAUGGAACUUUUCGAGGAAACUCGGUUUGAGGACUGCUGUGAAAAUCAGCUGUUCUUGCAUUCCGGGUCUAUGUUUUUAACAUAUACUCUGUAACAAGUCAUGGAAUGUUAAUCAUUGGCCUUCUGUGCCCUUUAAAAAAUAUAAUACAACUUUCAACAACGGAUCUCUUGGCUCUC